GCCAGACUCCUACGGGAGGCAGCAGUGGGGAAUAUUGGGCAAUGGGCGCAAGCCUGACCCAGCAACGCCGCGUGAAGGAAGAAGGCUUUCGGGUUGUAAACUUCUUUUAAGAGGGAAGAGAAGAAGACGGUACCUCUUGAAUAAGCCCCGGCUAACUACGUGCCAGCAGCCGCGGUAAUACGUAGGUGGCAAGCGUUGUCCGGAUUUACUGGGUGUAGAGGGCGUGCAGCCGGGCUGACAAGUCAGAUGUGAAAUUCCGCGGCUCAACCGCGGAACUGCAUUUGAAACUGUCAGUCUUGAGUACCGGAGAGGUCAUCGGAAUUCCUUGUGUAGCGGUGAAAUGCGUAGAUAUAAGGAAGAACACCAGUGGCGAAGGCGGAUGACUGGACGGCAACUGACGGUGAGGCGCGAAAGCGUGGGGAGCAAACAGGAUUAGAUGCCCGUGUAACC
This 450-nucleotide ribosomal RNA is filed under the name uncultured bacterium. RNAcentral's name for it is "bacterial SSU rRNA". It matches the Rfam family "Bacterial small subunit ribosomal RNA", at positions 330 to 795 of the family's 1533-position model. The record is from RNAcentral.